RNAcentral lists this ribosomal RNA (301 nucleotides) under uncultured bacterium. Its description in RNAcentral is "partial 16S ribosomal RNA". It matches the Rfam family "Bacterial small subunit ribosomal RNA", at positions 509 to 808 of the family's 1533-position model. The record is from RNAcentral.
CAGUCGCCCGGGAAUACGAAGGGGGCUAGCGUUGCUCGGAAUCACUGGGCGUAAAGGGUGCGUAGGCGGGUCUUUAAGUCAGGGGUGAAAUCCUGGAGCUCAACUCCAGAACUGCCUUUGAUACUGAAGAUCUUGAGUUCGGGAGAGGUGAGUGGAACUGCGAGUGUAGAGGUGAAAUUCGUAGAUAUUCGCAAGAACACCAGUGGCGAAGGCGGCUCACUGGCCCGAUACUGACGCUGAGGCACGAAAGCGUGGGGAGCAAACAGGAUUAGAUACCCGCGUAGUCCCUGUCUCUUAUACA